AUUGAACGCUGGCGGCAUGCCUUACACAUGCAAGUCGAACGGUAACAGGUUAAGCUGACGAGUGGCGAACGGGUGAGUAAUAUAUCGGAACGUGCCCAGUCGUGGGGGAUAACUGCUCGAAAGAGCAGCUAAUACCGCAUACGACCUGAGGGUGAAAGCGGGGGAUCGCAAGACCUCGCGCGAUUGGAGCGGCCGAUAUCAGAUUAGGUAGUUGGUGGGGUAAAGGCCCACCAAGCCAACGAUCUGUAGCUGGUCUGAGAGGACGACCAGCCACACUGGGACUGAGACACGGCCCAGACUCCUACGGGAGGCAGCAGUGGGGAAUUUUGGACAAUGGGCGCAAGCCUGAUCCAGCCAUGCCGCGUGCGGGAAGAAGGCCUUCGGGUUGUAAACCGCUUUUGCCAGGGAAGAAAAGGUUCUGGUUAAUACCUGGGACUCAUGACGGUACCUGUAGAAUAAGCACCGGCUAACUACGUGCCAGCAGCCGCCGUAA
Molecule: ribosomal RNA, 493 nt
Filed under: uncultured bacterium
Lineage: Bacteria
Description: partial 16S ribosomal RNA
Rfam family: Bacterial small subunit ribosomal RNA
Source: RNAcentral